Molecule: ribosomal RNA, 257 nt
Filed under: uncultured bacterium
Lineage: Bacteria
Description: partial 16S ribosomal RNA
Rfam family: Bacterial small subunit ribosomal RNA
Source: RNAcentral
UACGUAGGGCGCAAGCGUUUGUCCGGAUUUAUUGGGCGUAAAGAGCUCGUAGGCGGUUUGUACGCGUCUUCCGUGAAAACUCGGGGGCUUAACUUCCAGCUUGCGGUGGAUACGGCUGACUGGAGUGCGGCAGGGGAGACGUGGAAUUCCUGGUGUAGCGGUGAAAUGCGCAGAUAUCAGGAGGAACACCGGUGGCGAAGGCGGGUCGCUCGGGCCGGUUACUGACGCUGAGGAGCGAAAGCGUGGGAGCGAACAGG